GACAGAGGUGCCGAGCGUUAGGCGGAAUCACUGGGCUUAAAGCGCGUGUAGGCGGGCGGGCAAGUACCCUGUGAAAUCCCACGGCUCAACCGUGGAACGGCUGGGUAUACUGCCUGUCUUGAGCCAACUAGGGGCGAGCGGAACAGACGGUGGAGCGGUGAAAUGCGUAGAUAUCGUCUGGAACGCCGAAGGUGAAAACAGCUCGCUGGGGUUGUGCUGACGCUGAGACACGAAAGCCAGGGGAGCGAACGGG
RNAcentral lists this ribosomal RNA (253 nucleotides) under uncultured bacterium. RNAcentral's name for it is "partial 16S ribosomal RNA". It matches the Rfam family "Bacterial small subunit ribosomal RNA", at positions 524 to 776 of the family's 1533-position model. The record is from RNAcentral.